GAUGAACGCUGGCGGCGUGCCUAAUACAUGCAAGUAGAACGCUGAAGCUUGGUGCUUGCACCGAGCGGAUGAGUUGCGAACGGGUGAGUAACGCGUAGGUAACCUGCCUCUUAGCGGGGGAUAACUAUUGGAAACGAUAGCUAAUACCGCAUAAAAGACGAUAUCGCAUGAUAUUGAUUUGAAAGGUGCAAUUGCAUCACUAAGAGAUGGACCUGCGUUGUAUUAGCUAGUUGGUGAGGUAACGGCUCACCAAGGCGACGAUACAUAGCCGACCUGAGAGGGUGAUCGGCCACACUGGGACUGAGACACGGCCCAGACUCCUACGGGAGGCAGCAGUAGGGAAUCUUCGGCAAUGGGGGCAACCCUGACCGAGCAACGCCGCGUGAGUGAAGAAGGUUUUCGGAUCGUAAAGCUCUGUUGUAAGAGAAGAACGAGUGUGAGAGUGGAAAGUUCACACUGUGACGGUAACUUACCAGAAAGGGACGGCUAACUACGUGCCAGCAGCCGCGGUAAUACGUAGGUCCCGAGCGUUAUCCGGAUUUAUUGGGCGUAAAGCGAGCGCAGGCGGUUAGAUAAGUCUGAAGUUAAAGGCUGUGGCUUAACCAUAGUACGCUUUGGAAACUGUUUAACUUGAGUGCAGAAGGGGAGAGUGGAAUUCCAUGUGUAGCGGUGAAAUGCGUAGAUAUAUGGAGGAACACCGGUGGCGAAAGCGGCUCUCUGGUCUGUAACUGACGCUGAGGCUCGAAAGCGUGGGGAGCAAACGGG
This 765-nucleotide ribosomal RNA is filed under the name uncultured Streptococcus sp. Its description in RNAcentral is "bacterial SSU rRNA". It matches the Rfam family "Bacterial small subunit ribosomal RNA", at positions 28 to 776 of the family's 1533-position model. The record is from RNAcentral. Lineage: Bacteria; Bacillati; Bacillota; Bacilli; Lactobacillales; Streptococcaceae.